This 428-nucleotide ribosomal RNA is filed under the name uncultured prokaryote. RNAcentral's name for it is "bacterial SSU rRNA". It matches the Rfam family "Bacterial small subunit ribosomal RNA", at positions 355 to 774 of the family's 1533-position model. The record is from RNAcentral.
UGAGGAAUCUUGCGCAAUGGGGGAAACCCUGACGCAGCAACGCCGCGUGAGUGAAGAAGGCCUUCGGGUCGUAAAGCUCUGUCAGAUGGGAAGAAAUGGAUGGGGGCUAAUAUCGUCCAUCCUUGACGGUACCAUCAGAGGAAGCACCGGCUAACUCCGCGCCAGCAGCCGCGGUAAUACGGGGGGUGCAAGCGUUGUUCGGAAUCAUUGGGCGUAAAGCGCGCGCAGGCGGCUUGGUAAGUCAGAUGUGAAAUCCCUGGGCUUAACCCAGGAAGUGCAUUUGAUACUGCCUCGCUAGAGUACGGGAGAGGAAAGUGGAAUUCCUGGUGUAGGGGUGAAAUUCGUAGAUAUCAGGAGGAACACCGGUGGCGAAGGCGGCUUUCUGGCCCAAUACUGACGCUGAGACGCGAAAGCGUGGGGAGCAAACA